This 2031-nucleotide long non-coding RNA is filed under the name Homo sapiens (human). RNAcentral describes it as "non-protein coding LINC00470:4". Lineage: Eukaryota; Metazoa; Chordata; Mammalia; Primates; Hominidae. The record is from RNAcentral.
CUCUUGGUUUCUAGCUUUUGAUUAGAAGGUGGUAUUUCCAAAAUGAUUUGUUUUAGCAUUUCCUUUAAAUUUCUUUUAAACCCUGAGUGUUACUUGCUCUGGCAUAGGCAGCGACUUUGCCACGUCAUAUUUCAUUUUGACAGAAGUAGUGAUUUUAAAGAGGUAGUAGGUCUGACCAGUUAAAUGUUCUCAUCAGCCAGCACCCAGAUCAAGGACCAGAACAUUUUACCAGCCCCAAGGAUCUUCCUCAUGUGUUCUCUCCAAGUCCUUACCUCCACCAAGGGCAAUCAGGAUCCCAGCUUCUCUCUUUGGGUAACUCACUGAAUUUUUUUAAACCUCAGUUAUCUCAUCUGUAAAAUAUUUGAAUAAAACCCCUUGAUACUGUGCCUCCAGACUGCUCCAUCAAAAGAAGCAAUGGAUGCAGUGAUGUUCGUGUAAAAAAACCUACUGUGCUGCCAACUGUAUAAAAGGCCAACACACACAACUAUAAGUCUGCUGAGAGUCAUCAUAAAGAGAUGUUGGAUUUUAUAGAAGGCUUUGUCUGUGUCUGUUGAGAUGAUCCUGUGAUUUUUGUUUUUGAUUCUGUUUAUGUGGUGAAACCCGUUUAUUGAUUUUCAUGUGUUAAAUCAACCUUGCAUUUUAGAAGUAAACUCUACUUGAUCUUGGUGAAUUAACUUUUUGAUGUGCUGCUGGAUUCAGCUUGCUAGUAUUUUGUUGAGGAUUUUUGCAUCUACAUUCAUCAGAGAUAAUUAGCCUGAAGUUUUCUUUCUUUAUCAUGUCUCUGCCAAAUUUUGGUAUUAAGCUGAUGUUGGCUUCACAGAAUGAGUUCGGGAGGAGUACAUCCUCCUCGAUUUUUGUAAUAGUUUCAGUAGGAUUGGUAUCAGUUCUUUGUAAAUCUGGUAGAAUUCAGCUGUGAAUUUAUCUAAUCCAAGGCUCCUUUUGGUUGGUAGGUUUUUUAUUACUGGUUCAAUUUCCAAAUUUGUUUUUGGUCUGUUCAAGGUUUCAAUUUCUUCCUGGUUCAAACUUGAGAGGUUGUGUAUGCAUCCAAGAAUUUAUCCUUUCCUCUAGAUUUUCUAGUUUCUGUUCAUAGAGGUGUUCAUAACAGUCUCUGAGGAUCUUUUGUAUUUCUGUGGGAUUGGUUGUAAUGUCAUCUUUACCAUUUCUGAUUGUGCUUGUUUGGAUCAUCUCUUUUCUUUUUUUCUUUGUUAACUUGUCUAUCAACAUUGUUUAUUCUUUUGAAGAAAAAACUCUCGGUUUUAUUGAUCUUUUGUAUGGAUUUGGGGGCCUCAAUUUCAUUCAGUUCUUCUCUAAUUUUGGUUAUUUAUUUUCUUCUACUAGCUUUGCAGUUGCAUUGUUCUUUUUUUUCUAGUACCUCUAGUUGCAUUGUUAGGCCAUUAAUUUAAGAGCUUUCUGACUUUUCGAUGUGGGCAUCUGUGAACACAGACUCAAUAUCCUCCUUCUAUCUAUUUGAAAUUAUAUAUUAUAUAUAUAUAUCAUUGUUAACUAUAGUCAUCCUACAGUGUUAUAAAACACUAGAACUGGCUGGGCAUAGUGGCUCAUGCCUGUAGUCCCAGCACUUUGGGAGGCCAAGGUGGGUGGAUCACUUGAGGUCAGGAAUUCGAGACCAGACUGGCCAACAUGAUGAAACCCCAUCUCUAAUAAAAUUACAAAAAUUAGCUGAGCUAGUGGCAUACAUACACCUAUAUUCCCAGCUACUCAGGAAGCUGAGGCAGGAGAACUGCCUGAACCUUGGAGACGGAGGUUGCAGUGAGCCAAGAUAGCACCACUGCACUCCAGCCUAAGCAACAGAGCAAGACUCUGUCUCAAAAACAAACAAAAAAAACACUAGAACUCAUUCCUAUCUAGCUAUAAUUUAGUGUCCCUCAGCAAAUCUUUCCAUGUCCCCCCUUCUCUAUACCUUUCCCAGUAUCAAGUAUCCUAUGUUCUACUUGUUAUUUCUAUAAGAUUUACUCUUUUUUUUAGCUUCCACAUAUGAGUGAAAACAUGCGGUGUUUAAGUUUCUGCUCCUGG